AUGAAUGAAAACCUUUCCAUCCUAAAUUGGAAUGUUCGUGGUCUUAACUGUCCGAAUCGGUGCACUACCGUUCAUGAGACAAUCACUGCUACUUCUUGCAACCUUGUUUGCCUUCAGGAAAUGAAGCUGGCAGCGGUUGAUCCUUUCGUGGCUGCUUUUUUGGGUGGCCAACGACUCAAAAGCUAUGCUGAGCGGCCAGCGGAUGGAACCAGAGGAGGUAUCCUCAUUCUCUGGAACGAAGACUUCAUUAAGGUGGAUAAUAUUUUCUUGGGCACCUUCAGCAUCUCUGCUAACAUCACUAUUGUUAGCAACCUUGUUUCUUUCAAACUCACUUCGGUUUAUGGUCCUACUAGAAGCAACCUUAAAGAUGCUUUUUUCCAAGAGCUCGUUAGCCUCAAACCACAACAGGGUACACGAUGGCUGGUUACGGGUGAUUUCAAUCAAAUCUACCGUGCAAGAGACAAAAACCGCACAAACGUAGACCGCUCUCGUCUUGUGCGCUUCCGAAAUGCCCUCAACUCCUGUGAGCUAAAGGAGAUCCACCUCCAGAACAGAAAGUUCACUUGGAGCAAUGAGCAAGCUAACCCGACCAUGAGCAAGUUAGAUUCCUUCUUCUGCAAUGACGACUGGGACGUAGAAUUUGGCUCUCACAUCCUUCAUGCUCUCUCAUCCUCGCUCUCCGAUCACUGCCCGCUGCUUUUGGCUAGCGACAAGGGACCAAGACAACCCAACACUUUCUGUUUUGAAAAUUUCUGGACGAAGUUGCCCAACUUCAAGAGAAUUGUCCAAGAUGCUUGGAGCAAGGGCACAAGCCACUCCGAGCCCUAUCAAGUGCUCUUUCACAAGAUGAAAAGAACAGGCCAGUGCCUCAGGCGUUGGAGCAAAUCCAUCUUCUCGAAUCACAAAGUGCAGCUCCACAUGGCCCUCGAGAUCAUCCUCCGCCUCGACGUGGCUCAAGAGUCCAGGACACUCAGCUUGGCUGAAUGGAAUCUGAGGAAGGACCUCAAAAAGAAGGUGGUGGCCUUGGCGGUUCUUGAGCGAGCCAGGAAAAGACAAUGUUCGAGAGUUAAGCUUCUCAAAGAGGGGGAUGCG
Molecule: ribosomal RNA, 1092 nt
Filed under: Triticum aestivum (bread wheat)
Lineage: Eukaryota; Viridiplantae; Streptophyta; Magnoliopsida; Poales; Poaceae
Description: partial small subunit ribosomal RNA
Source: RNAcentral